CAACCACCGCAAACCAUCAUCGCGUGGCGACGCGCUGCCAAUCCUUCAACCUUCACACACACAAAAAAAAAAAAACAUCGCCCACCCUCCACUCUCGGCUCCCUACCUCCGUCAACGCGACGGCAGCUGGUGCAGCCACGCAUACCCACACGCGCACACACGUACCCGAGCCUCUCUUUGCCAGCUCCUCGUUUCUUCUUCGCGCACCGGUACGCUGCAGCAGCACUACCGCGCAGUCUUCCAGCGAUCAUGACGCACGAGUUUCGCUCACUGUUUCUCCCUCUCGCAGCGGAGGAGCAGGCCGUCUUCGCGGACUUCUUCCCGACUCUCAUGGCCUCGAGCACCUCGAUCCAGGACGGCGCGGCAGGCGAGCACUCAUUGCAGCCGACGGUCUCAGCAGCACUCGACACAUCUAGCUCCGCCUGGGCUACCUCCCCCCACUCCUCCGGGGAGUGUGGCAACCUACCCGAGGUUGGGCGCGGAACCGCAACGGACGCGCAGGCUCGGUGCGGCGCACCCUUACGCUCUCUUGUGUUCGCCAUCGGCAGCGGCAGAGCCGACGCGGUCAUCGUUGUCCUGCGCAGGGGCGACGUCGUCCUCUACGGACUCGACCGACUGCACACGCCACCUUACGAAAAGUGCCGCAUCCGGCCCCUCCCCACAACGCAACAGCUCAUGGCGGCGCGCGAGAACGCCCGCAGGUACAGUAAUGCUGACGGGGCGGCUAGUGACGGGAGCCGGGCGGAUGCCAGCGGUAGCGGGGUUCUCGCCGGGUCUUGCAGGGUCGGUAACGGCGGGGCAGAGGCGACCUGUGCAGCGCUGCUGCCGUUGCACAUCGCCUACUGCUGCCGUAUUCCCCUCUCCGCCUCCUUCAGCUCCGCCACGCCACCGGCCGGCGGACCGCGCCGCGGCGGCGGCGGUGGCUCACGAGACGAAAAGGACGAAGACGUCGUGUACCUCCGCGGCAUCGUGGGCAGCAGCGACGGUCGUGUCAGCCUCUUCUCUGACACGUCCUACACGCUAAGCUUCGCGGCGCACGACAUCCCAGUCGCGCAGGUGGACGCGGUUCUACUGCCGCCUUGCACACUGGAUGGGUGCGUAUCAACGAAUGCCAGCCCCACAACGUCAACGCGUGGCGUCCGCAGCAUGGGAGCGGGCGUCAACACAUACGCGGCACCUUCUGGUGAGCUGGCGUCCCCUACGUCACCGCAGCGGCAAGAGCGCUUGGCGCGCGCCACGCAGCGCCUUGGCCUUGUCACCAGCGGCAACGACGGCGUGGUGCUCCUCUGGCGGCGCCUGGGAGACUCGAUGAGCCCCAUCGUGGUGGUCCGUCCCUCCACCUUCUCCAGUCGCGCCGCCUACGCUGUGCACCACCCCUCCGCCCUCUCGGCGCUGUUGUCGUCGCGGGCGCCGCUAUCCCAGCGCGAGGCCGCCGUCGAUGCCGAGCUGUCGUGCCCGCCGUCGUGUCUGCUUCACGCAGCGACCUCCACCAGCCAUACUCUGCGUGUUCGCCAGCUCUCCUCAAUCUCGCCAAAGCCCACACACAAGUCUCUCUCCUCGACCGCACGUCGCGAGUCGGUGGAAGAGGCAGCCCCCACCUCCAUGAGCACCGCACUGCCGGGCUCGUGGUCGGCGACCGUGACCGCGAUCGCCGCGCACGACAGCGUCACCCUCGUUGCCAUGGGCGCGUCCCUGCUCUCCCUCGUCAAACUCAACCCACGCUCUGUUGCGCGUGUGUGGAAGGCAGCGGAGAGCAUCACGCAGCUCGUGCUGGUUGACUCCGUGGCGCUGGCCGUGUGUGCUCGCAGCGGCACCGUUCACGUGCUCACUAUCCACCCUAGCACCGGGCAGGUCGUGCGCCAGCGCGUCUACUACAGCUACAAAAACCGCGCCAUCCACCACACCAGCCUGCAUGUGGCGUCGCUCCUCAUGACGCUCGUUGACGUCUGCGGGUCAACGGAGCUUGUCCAGCUGCCAGCAGAUGUGCUGCUGCCGUGCGGCGUGCGACCGCUCCGUGGAGAAUACGCAAGCGGCGACGCAGCACACGUGAACCUGCUUGCCUCGAUGGCCGCUCUUCGGGCGAAGGUAUGCAUUGAGGUCAUCAAGGACGGCAGCGGCGGUGGUGCCAGUGGGAGUGUUACAGCUAACGAGGCGGAGGUGAUUGGAGGCUCCACCUCCAUGUACGAGGCGAACGCCGCAUUCGAUCAGCUCAAUGAACGGCUGCUGCUCGCGCGCUACGCGGUGCCGGAGGAGUGCGACGACUUCAUGGGCGCCAACGUGCACGUCUUCUGACGGUGGAGCGUAUGAGGCGUACUCGCGGAACCGGGGAGGCGAAGUGGACGCGUGCCCUGGCACGAAUGCAGCAUGGCCUCUGCGCUCACACAAAAGCACUGGCAUUUAGCUGUACCCUGUCCUCAUCCUCCUCCUUAUUACCCACUCCCGGCAAGUUGCCUCACCGCCGCCCAUCGUCCAGCCCGUCGCCGUGCCCGCGUCUUCCUUUACAAGCUUAUGCUGUUUGCCUUGCACUGCAGUGCACUGCACACAUAC
Molecule: unclassified non-coding RNA, 2547 nt
Filed under: Leishmania donovani
Lineage: Eukaryota; Euglenozoa; Kinetoplastea; Trypanosomatida; Trypanosomatidae
Description: gene:LdHU3.15.0550(CDS-product:hypothetical_prote in_conserved)
Source: RNAcentral